RNAcentral lists this long non-coding RNA (2307 nucleotides) under Canis lupus familiaris (dog). RNAcentral's name for it is "lncRNA (ENSCAFG00845012976.1)". Lineage: Eukaryota; Metazoa; Chordata; Mammalia; Carnivora; Canidae. The record is from RNAcentral.
GAGCGAGCUGCGGCCGUGGCAGCUGCAGGGCUCCCGGCCCCGGAGCAUGCGCAGGAGCCGCCCCGGAGCCCCCCGCCGCCCCGCCCGCGGCGCCCCGCGCCCCGCCGCCAGGAACCUCAGCACCUUCUGUACUCCAGCCCGAGAAGAGAACUGAAAGUAAAAGCCAUCCUGAGCUUUGCCCCAGCCUUCCUGUUCCUCUGCUGGUUUCUUAGAAAUCAGCUGCCUGGGCUUCCAGCUGCCGCCUGGACUUCAUCUCUCACCGAAGAGCCCCCUCACCCUGGUGAGUGCCACACUAACCUCGGCAACAGGGCUGGAGGCCUGUGCCGGGGAGGGGGGCCCCCCCCAGGGAGCGUGGGGGUCAUGCGCUCAGCCCACAAACCUUUAUUCGCGCCUCCAGAGUGCUAGGUGUGGGGGAAGCAGGUGAAUCUGUGUGGCCCAGAGUUAGGAGGAGGGCUUAGGGAGGGGUUCACUGUCCCCGGAGUCGGGUGCCAACAGGUAGGUGGCUGCAGGGUUGGUGGAGGGCACCCGGAGACCAGUAAGUCAUGGGGUCCCUGGAAUCGUGGGGAGGAGGUUGGGAGAUGUGCAAUCAGGGGAGGCUCCCUGGAGGGGCCGCUGUCAGCCGCUUCAAGAGCCAGUGGGAAGGGGUUCACCUGGGCAGCCUUUGUGGGGAAGGGCAUCUGAGGCAUAGGGAACAGAAUAGUCAAAGUGACCUGUGUUAUUCCCCACAAAACAUAUAACUGCCCCCAAAGUACACACGUCUCUCCAUCUUUUGCAGGGGGAGAAACUACGACCUCAAAGAAGUAUGGUGGUUUGAUCUGGCCAGGACUCCCAGCUGGAGUGGAGAUCCAGAAGCAGUCUGCGUGUGCCCAGCCUCUCUCCUGAGCCAGACUCAAGGGGUACCCGGAUCCUCACCAUGUCUGUCUGGGAGCACACCCUCUGCCCCUGGCCCCAGGCUCCCACACACCCCGCUUAAACCCUCCACACCUUAAAGUGGCCUGCCUGGGUCACACAGCCUACUGCGGAGUCAGAGUCAGGAUUCAGGCCCAGGUCUGCGGGGCCUCAAAGGGCCCCCUCCUUCUUCUCCGUGAGGCAUCGGGUACCUUACAGAAAACAGACCUGAGCUGACAGUCUCUGUCCCCACAUUCUAAGGAGGGUGGACGGGACAGCAUGGAAAAAAAUCUUGGUGGCUGGAAAGUAGGGUCCACACUCAGCGCAUUGUGAGCCAGAGCUUUGCUCUCAGGGAACUACCCUGCUGGUUCUCGAUGGUCCCGGAGGGGCUUUCCGUCCCAGCACUGGCCGCAGGUGGAUGUGGACCAGACCUGGCUAAUCAGAGCACCCCAUACCUCAGUUGGUAAGCACACGACCUAAGCUGGAUCAAUCAGAGACCCUUCUGGAACUUUUGGGCUGGAACAAAUAGGAACCCUUUCCUUCUAACCUGGGCCCCCACUCCCACGCCUUCCCACCCCUGACAGUGGUUGUGUCCCAUUAUGUCAACAGAGAUGAAGAGACGGAGCAGGAGCCGGAGCCCUGAUGCCCUGUGUGAGCCCUGGAUCCAGCCAUACCUGAUCUCCACCUCCAGACUUACCUGUUACACAAACCACAGGUUUCCUUUUUUGGCUUAUCCUUGUCACUUAUGACAGUUAUGUUGCUGUCACUUGCAACGCUAAGAGUCAAAACAACCCUCUGGCCUGGAAGAGCGAGGACUAGUUUUGGCAGGAUCUGGGGCCCAUGGUGAUCCCCGCUCUCCCUGGUGUCUGCCCUCCAGGAAAGGUGGGUUGCAGACACUUCCACAUCCCCAGGGUCCACGGGUUUUGUUAAUAACCGACUUUUUUUUUUUAACUUUGGGGAAAAAAAUUCCACGUUUAAAAAAAAAAAAAGUUCCUUCCCAUUUUUUUUUGAACAGACUAUUUUUAGAGCAGUUUUAGGUUCACAUUGAAAUUGAGUGGAAAGCACAGAGUUUCCAUAUACCCACUGCUCCCACCCCACGCACUGCCUCCCCCACUACAACAUCCCACACCAAUCCACGUUCUUUCCUAACUUCCAUGUUUGUUUUUAAAUUUGUAAAGGAAUCUACCAAUCAUGCAUGUAUUAAGUGCCUUGGGUGUAUAUUUUUCUUCUGAUCGCUACAGAUUACAUAUGUUUUUUUUUUCCUUUAAAAAAGUUUUUAAAAAGGGACAACGUUCUUUAUGACCCAUAUUGGAAACCACUUUUUCCACUUAGCAUCUCAGGUGCCGAGCUCCAGGUCCCCGGCUGACAAGGUCAGGAGGACUGUGCCCAUUUGAACGUGAGGCCGCAGGGAGCGGGGCG